RNAcentral lists this long non-coding RNA (1394 nucleotides) under Canis lupus familiaris (dog). RNAcentral describes it as "lncRNA (ENSCAFG00845004406.1)". Lineage: Eukaryota; Metazoa; Chordata; Mammalia; Carnivora; Canidae. The record is from RNAcentral.
CUGUCCGCUCGGGCUCCGGAGGAAGCCACCGCCGCCAGUCUGAGGCAGGUGCCCGACAUGGCGAGUGCUGUGCUGCCGAGCGGGUCCCAGUGUGCGGCGGCGGUGGCGGCGGUGGCGGCGGCGGCGGCGCCUCCCGGGCUCCGACUCCGGCUUCUGCUGUUGCUCCUCUCCGCCGCGGCCCUGAUCCCCACAGGUGGCGGAAAUACUCGGUUAUGACUCCAAAAGGAAGUGCAAAAGGAGGCCGACCCAAGCCAGGAGAUAAUAUCAAAGAGAAAUACUUCCAGCAACAUCAGCAAAUGGUAAAGAUACCAUCAGAAACAAACAUUUGCUGCCUUCUGCCUUCCCUACCAGUUUUAAUUCAGAAAAUUUAAAUGAUUUUUCUCAUAUCGAAAAUGAGUUAAAAUACUAGGGAGUCUUUUAUUCUUCAUAAACCGAAGUCAGAGUAAUUUAUUUUAUCUAGAAGAGAGUAUUAAAUUAGCUGUCAACUGUGCUACACAGGUGGAUGGUAACUUUUGAAUGAAAUGACCAAAUCUCCGGUCCCGAGGCAUUCAUUUUAAUCUCUGCUUUCCAUUGAAAUAGGCAAAACAUGAAAUGUUGAGAUAAUAGUACUAAAAUUCCAAGUAAUUGCUUUUGUUAGCUCAACUCAUGUUUACUCCUAUUAAUUACUGAAAUUUGAUAACCCCUUUGUUUUCUACUUAGCAUGACUCUGAAAGCAAGGGACAGAGCUAUAAAUCAGGUAGGCGGUUCUCAGCUAAAGGCAGGACUCCUUUGCUUUGAUGUUGGCAGCUUAAAGCUAAUUCCUUUGGCGGGAUAGGUUUAUAAUUCAAGAAGAUGUGAUUUAAUGUUGAUGGAAUUUAUUUUUGAAAUAUGUUCUAGGAAGAAAGCCUUUCAAAGUAAAUGAAGUUUUGAGGUGGGUCUUAAGUAAACAAAGACCGUCAGGAUCUCUAAACACCCCACUUUGGAGAUCUCUAUAGGAUAGGUGUGCGGAUGCAGUGCGGGAGGGGAAUGAUGAGGGGAUGACGUGAAUAGGGAGGAUAUGGCAGCUCUGGAGGCUUCUGAGUAAGCUGUGCAAUUGAAGACCUCAACUUGUGUCCUCUCUUUCUAAAUCUAUGUUACCUUCUUCAUAAUAACAUUUCAUUAGUGGUGUCCCUUAUAAGUUAUAAAGGCGACCCUAAUAGGUAUGAGGUUGUUUUGUUUUUGUUUUGAUUUUAAUUUUUUUCAAACUAAAGGCUUGUAAGAGUUUGGAGAAAUUCUGAAUCCAUUUUCCCCCCAUCCUGCUAAUGCCACAGAUUUCUGCAACCUCUCCGUCAUCUCAUUCAUACAUUCUUCCCCUCAGGAAAUACUAAGUGCCAGGGACUGCUAGGCAUUGGAGAUUGAGCAGGCCACCAGCCAGA